UACAGAGGGGGCGAGCGUUGUUCGGAAUUACUGGGCGUAAAGGGCGCGUAGGCGGCCUUCUAAGUCGGACGUGAAAUCCCCGGGCUCAACCCGGGAACUGCGUCCGAUACUGGGAGGCUUGAAUCCGGGAGAGGGAUGUGGAAUUCCAGGUGUAGCGGUGAAAUGCGUAGAUAUCUGGAGGAACACCGGUGGCGAAGGCGGCAUCCUGGACCGGUAUUGACGCUGAGGCGCGAAAGCGUGGGGAGCAAACAGG
RNAcentral lists this ribosomal RNA (253 nucleotides) under uncultured bacterium. RNAcentral's name for it is "partial 16S ribosomal RNA". It matches the Rfam family "Bacterial small subunit ribosomal RNA", at positions 524 to 776 of the family's 1533-position model. The record is from RNAcentral.